AGGAGGUAUGGCCUUAUUGGAGAAGGUGUGGUCUUAUUGGAGGAAGUGAGUCACUGUGGAUCCAGGCUUUAAGGUCUCUUUUGCUCAAGCAUCCCUCAGUGUGACUUUCAGCCAACAUCCUGUAGCACUCUCAGCUCCAGCAACACAUCUGCCUGAAUGCUGCAAUGCUCCAAUUAAUCAUAAAGGACUGAACUUUUGAAACUGUAAGCAAGCUACCCUCAAAUAAAUGUUUUCUUUAUAACAGUUGCUGUGGUCAUGGUGUCUCUCCACAGCAAUAGUAAGUCCUAACUAAUAUGCCAACUGUAUUCAUAACCUUCUUAUUUGUGAAUCUUUCACACAAACACUGGCAGAUACUGCCUUUUCUGUGUGUAGACAGAACAAUAUUUUUCCUUGCUCUUUCAUUUCUGGAGAAUAAUUUGCUGGGUACAUAUUUCUGGCUGUAAGUUUUAUUUUCUCUUCAAAACAAGAAAUGUAUAAUACCAUUCCUUCCUGGUUCUGCUGCUCAUUUUCCUUCCUGGUGCUGCUCUUCAUUUAAUGAAUGUUCCUUUGAAUAUAGUUGGUAGUUCUCUCUUGCAGCUUUUGGUAUUCCGUUUGCUCAGUGCUUAAUCUUAAAUAUGCCACCUCCAUUUUGCAAUAUGCCACCAUGAGGAAAUGUAAUGGUUGGGCUUUCUUAGGGUCUCAUAAGUAACUAAGUCCAGGUACUCAUUCAUUUCCCAACUCUAUCGGACUUUCAGAAAGUCUUUCCUUAUAUAUGGUUGCAUAUUUUCUCCCUCCUUUGGUGUUCCAGAACUCACAAAAUAUUUGUUUAUUUAAUGGAAAACAUGAAUCUCAAUGAGGAUUUUCCAAUUCAUUUUUAUUUUUUAUAAAGUUUUAUAAGGAUUUCUGGAAUACUUAAAAGAUUUGAUUUUCUGUGAUUAAUCUAGAACACACACACACACACACACACACACAACACACACACACACACACACACACACACACACACACACACACACGGUAGGAGAUUUUUAUUUGUUUAGGCAACAGGAUCUUCAGUGUAGCCUCAAAAUUCCCAAGUAACUUCCCCCCACAUACUGGGAUUACGAAUGUAUACCACCACACAUGGAUUUAAUCAAUAUUUUUUCUGCUUAACUUAAUUUCCUAGAUUUCUGUUUGGUUUAUUCCAGGAUCUCCCCACCCCCACCCCUGUCUCUCUGCUGAUGAGUUUCUUUUUUAUGUCAAUUGCAAUUGUAAUUGUACUCUCAGAAGGCUCACAUGUAUCCUAAUGCUUGUGAUUUUGUAUUAAUUACUUGACAUGUGUAUAUUUCUUUCACUGGAAUUCAUUGCUAUAGUUACUAUGUUCUGUUACAGACCAUAGGACCUCGUUUUUCACAUUUCUUGUAACCCUACAUCACAAUAUUGAUGUUUGUGUGUAUUUGGUAGACCCAGUGUCUCUAUUAGUUUUAUGAUGUGACUUUCCUCAUUAAUGACUUUGCCAUGUAUGUUUCUUAGGACGCCAACUUGUAAGUUAUGCUGGCUAUGUUCUGUUUGUGUUCCACAGUGUACUUACUGUUUCUCUAGCUUACUUGCACGUCAUCAAUUUAUCUGGAUACAGUGUAUGCAGCUGUGGCUGUGAGAGUCCUUUUUCUCUGAAAGACACUUUGUGAAAAGGAAAUGGGUUGCUCCAGUGACAGGAUACAAUGGAAGUUGUUUUUAAGGAUGGAAAUGAGGACAAGAGUCACCAUGUGUGUAGUUUGGCAUACUGGAUGCAUAGCAGCAGCAAUGAAAACAGUCAGGGACAAACAAGGCAUGGAGUACAUGUCCUUGCCUUUUUGCAGUUUUAUCUACCUAUAGCCCUUGAGUUUCAUAGCUCUGUCUACCAGACCCUAGCAUUAGAUAAGGGACAAGGCAAGUUCUUUCUCUGACUUCAAGUAGUCUCUAUAAUGUGUGUCCAAGCCUUCUGUUUUGUCUUACCUACCCCUUGGUUAAAACAGCUGACUUAAACAACUUAUUGGGAGGGGUUAUUUAUUUUAGGUGAUGAUUGCAGAGGACACACUUCAUAGUGACAGGGAAGGCAUGAGAGUACAGAUCAAUUCGCACGAGAAUGGGAGGGAAGGGGACAAAGUUAGUGGAGGCAGGCCGAGGACAAGUUAUAGUCCCCUAAAUCAUCUCCCUAGUUCCUGUAUUUUCAGCUAGGCCUCACCAAUGAAGUGCCCCAAAUCUCCAUAGUUUCACCAGCUGAGACUAACCCUGUCUUCUAUUCUUCCCCCAACUCAACCUUCCUGCUCCCUCAUGUCCUCCUCUCCCUUCCUCUUCUCCCCUUCUCAUUCUCCUAGCUUCCUCUUCCUCCCUCCAUGCUCCAAAUUUGCUCAAGAGAUCUUGUCCCUUUCCCCUUCUCUGGGGACAAGUUUUCCUUGUUUCCUAGCUUCUCUGACAGUGUGGAUUGUAGGCUGGUAAUUCUUUGCUCUAUUCUAAAAUCCAUAUAUGAGUGAGUACAUACCAUGUUUGUCUUUUGUUACUGGGUUACCUUGCUCAGAAUGGUUUCUUCUAGUUCCAUCCAUUUGAACUGAACUGGAAUCCAGUUGCAGAGAAGGAGGAGUGAUGAGCAAAGGGGUCAAGACCAGGCUGGUGAAACCACAGAAACAGCUGACCUGAACAAGGAGGAGCUCAUGGUCUCCAUACUGAUAGCUGGGAAACCAGCCUGGCACUGAUCCAGAACCCCUGAAUAUGGGUGUCAGUGAGGAGGCCUCGGAAAUCAAUGGGAGCCCAUCCCACAUGAAGGGAUACUCCCUCAGCCUAGACACACAGGGGAGGGCCUAGGCCCUAUCCCAAAGGAUAUGACAGACUCUGAAACCCCCCUCAUGGAAGGCAUCACCCUCCCUAAGGAGCAGAAAGGUGAGUCAGUUCAAAAGCAAAUUCAGGUAUCCUAGGGAGUUUUGUAUUUCGAGCACUCUUGGAAAGACUAGGACAAAAUAUAUUUUUAAGCUACGGACAUCCCAUGCUCAGGAGGAUUUUCCAGGUAAGUUUCCUUUCUGUUUUUUGUUUGUUUGUUUUCAUUUUCAAGGUGUGUGUGUGUGUGUGUGUGUGUGUGUGUGUGUGUGUGUGUGUGUGUGUGGUUUCUUUUCUACCUUGUUUUGAGACAAGGUUUCUUGGUAGUCAUCGUUGCAUAGGUUGUGAGCUUUUGGAGAUUCUUCUGUUUCCUCUUCCCAGCUUGGCACAAGAAUGCUGCGGUUAUUUAUGUGUGUUACCAAGUUCAGCUUUUCUUGGGUUCUAGGAGUAUGAACUUAGAUCUUCCAGCUUGCAAGGCGAGCAUUUUAUGCACUCAGCCUUCCUCAUCACCCUUGUGUUUUUUUAUGAUAUGACACAAUUAUGCCACUCUUUGGCAUGUGUCCAAAGGACUUAAGUUCCUAUUCCACAGAUAACUGCUCAGCUAUGUUCAUUGCUUUUUUAGUCACAAAACUAGGAAACAAAAGAAACCUAAAUGUUCUUGACCAGAUGAACAAACAGUGAAAAAUAUGAUUCAUGUACACAAUGUAAUACUAUUCCGUUGCAGAAAAAUGAAAUUUGUAGGCAAUGAAUAGAAAAUAUUAUGGAGUAAUGGAGCAAGAAGAUAAAACCACACGUUCUCUCUCAUCUCUGGGUGCUAUCUCUGGAUAAUCAAAUGUGGGUGUAUAAACAACUGGAGUAAAAAUAGAAACAAGAAAAAGUGAGACAGGACCAGGGUGUGGAGGAAUGAAAGAGACAGGCAUAGAAGGACACAGAAAUUGAUAAGGAUUAUUGCACCAUGUGCUGCACUGUGUAAAUUUUCUCCUUUAUUAAGUGUUGCCCAGAAUUCUGCCCUCUUCAUCUCAAAUACCAAGACACCCAUGAAUGAGAGUACCUAAAUUCACUCAGACUUCUAUGAAAAAUUACCACAACCAAGAGAUCUUGUAAAUGGAAAGAUGUAUUUCUCACAGUUCUGGAAGGUUGGAAUCACAAGGCUAGGCCCUAAUGCAUCUGCUGUGCCAAGUCCACCUGCCUAUUCUGUGGCCUUCUUGUGUUGUCCUCACAUUCUAGAAAGGGUAGGGUGUUUCUGUGGUUCCUUUAAUGAAAAAAAAAAAAAUUCCAUCCAGAGAGCUGUGUGCUAAUAACCUUAUCCCUUCUGGUUUCUCACUGCCCCCCCCCCAAUUGGGGAUUAGCUGUAACGAAAUCAGAAAGGAAGGCAACUGACUGAGCAAGAAAACCUGUUAUUUCAAAUAAAGUGAAAUUUUGGUACCUUAGUACAAUGUGACUUGUUCUGUUCAACUGAUAUAAAUUGCUACAAUUCUACUGCCACUAUUUUCAGGAGAAGAAUAUACACCCCUAAAUAAUGGCAGUAAGUCAGAAAUAUGUUGAGCAAUAAUGAAACAAUAAGUCCAUCAUUUAGCUGGAGGAAAAUGCCACACAAACUUUUUGUUGUUUUAUUCAUCAAAUUUAUUUUUUCACCAAAAAUGUUAAAUUGGAAAACUACAGUGGAAAACAGCUCUUCAUAAUGUCCCUUAGUCUUAUUCAUUUGAGCUUGGAUUUAAGGAUUUGAAAGAGAAAUAAUUCAGCAACAUACACUUGUCAGUCAAAGAAGCCACAAAGAGAAUAUAGAGAUCAUUUAGAGUGUCUAAGGAUUCAAAAGGGAGUUGUCCCUUUGAUCUUCCAUUAAUUUCAUUUUAGAGGACAAAAUGGGAGAAUUGACUGGUAAAAUGUUAGGAAGAGUUACCCAACUGGGAACACGUAAAGCAGUAAAAAUAAUUCCUGACAGAGGAAGCAGUUUACACAAAAUCAUGAAUUCCACACAUACAAAUGUCAUAACUGUGGGUCUAAGAGACUGAAGACUGGACUGGAGAUGAGGUACAAUGAAGAGAAAUGAAAGGAUAGGAAACACAAAGCCCUGUGUAUUUCAGAACCACACCAACCACUGUUUCUGCAUAGCAAGUCAACUGAACAUUUUGAUGUCCAACAGAUUAGCGACACUGAAUACAUGAGCUUAUCUAACCCAGAACUAACAUAUUCUGAGCUUGCAUGAUUUAUUUUCUGUUUAUUAAUAUGACUUAUUUGGGAUAACAAUUACCACAUGCAAAUUACUAGGUGAAUUAUUCUUAAACACUCAAAUGUUGCUAGAUGAAUGGGGACAAUUGGCAAGGCCACUUUGGAAAAAAUGGAAAUGUAUAGCAAUCAUUGUGAACUUUUUAAAAAAUUUGGCCCUGUGAUUCUUGUUCAUGGUUCCAAAUAAUCAUAAAUUUUGUUUUACUUUGUCACUCUGAAUAUUUUUGCAUAUAUGUGAG
Molecule: long non-coding RNA, 5273 nt
Filed under: Cricetulus griseus (Chinese hamster)
Lineage: Eukaryota; Metazoa; Chordata; Mammalia; Rodentia; Cricetidae
Description: lncRNA (ENSCGRG00015033185.1)
Source: RNAcentral